RNAcentral lists this ribosomal RNA (426 nucleotides) under uncultured bacterium. RNAcentral's name for it is "bacterial SSU rRNA". It matches the Rfam family "Bacterial small subunit ribosomal RNA", at positions 356 to 773 of the family's 1533-position model. The record is from RNAcentral.
GAGGAAUAUUGCGCAAUGGGGGCAACCUUGACGCAGCAACGCCGCGUGAGUGAGGAAGGUUUUCGGACCGUAAAGCUCUGUCGAGCGGGAAGAAAUGUUUAUUGGUUAAUAUCCAGUAAGCUUGACGGUACCGCUAAAGGAAGCACCGGCUAACUCCGUGCCAGCAGCCGCGGUAAUACGGGGGGUGCGAGCGUUGUUCGGAAUUAUUGGGCGUAAAGAGCGUGUAGGCGGCUGAAUAAGUCAGAUGUGAAAGCCCUGGGCUUAACCCAGGAAGCGCAUUUGAAACUGUUCAGCUUGAGUAGGGGAGAGGAAAGUGGAAUUCCUGGUGUAGAGGUGAAAUUCGUAGAUAUCAGGAGGAACACCGGUGGCGAAGGCGACUUUCUGGCCCUAUACUGACGCUGAGACGCGAGAGCGUGGGUAGCAAAC